GGGGAUGCCGGGUAUCGAUAAUUAAGAUUGUCCUUAGAUAUUCAUGACGGGUUUUGGUUACACCGUAAAAAUAACCUAAAAAACAAGUGUCAAAAACACUGCAAGAGCGUUUACUUGGAAUGUUCCGAGUUUCGCUCCCGUUAUGGCUUAAUUAAAAAAUAGCCGUAGCCAUCGGACUGGUGCCGCCUCAGCAUCAACAACCGGUGUCAUUAUCGAGGCUCGGAAAUCAUCGGUCUCCUCCUAAUGAUUUCGACACAAUGAGGGGUGGCUGACGUUUCUUUUGUCUGAUUUUUGAGAACGUCGGCGACACAAAUAAAUCAGGCUAUUCUUGUAAAUGUAUCUAGGGUCACUUAUUAGACAUGGGUUCAACUCCCAUCAUCUCCACAA
RNAcentral lists this transfer-messenger RNA (387 nucleotides) under Patescibacteria group. RNAcentral's name for it is "GCA-002841655 sp002841655 Standard tmRNA". It matches the Rfam family "transfer-messenger RNA". Rfam says of the family: Bacterial tmRNA, also known as 10Sa RNA or SsrA, is named for its dual tRNA and mRNA-like properties. Its role is to liberate the mRNA from a stalled ribosome. The record is from RNAcentral. RNAcentral also lists the same sequence under 1 other name.